GAAAAACACAAAACAAGUGAACGUCAUCGUCGUGGUGCGGGGAGUGCUUGCUCUGUCUUCAGGCAUCUGGAAGGUGAGCACAAAGCUGUCACUGGUGAUAACAGCAGCACUGAGCUCCAGCAGCAGCAUUGGCUCUGUGCUCAUACGGUUACGCACACAUGGCCAGAUGGGUCCCCUGACUCCAAAGCGCAUUCCUUCCCCCAUACCACUUGGCCAGCUUGUUGUGGUGAAGGGGAUAUUAAGUCGCAGAGCGGGUGGACUCCUGAGCACCUACUGAGUGGGAAAAAUACAGCAGGGUGAGGGGAUUGAGUGGGAGUGCAAUCAGGGAAGACUUCCUGAAGGCAGUGACUGGUGACUGGAAUGAAGCAUGAGAAUGAGCCAUGCAGGUUGCCCAGAGAGAGCAUCCAGGCAGAGGGAGCAGAAAGUUCCAUCCUCGCCCAGCUCUGCCGGCCCAGGUACUUUCUCCUCUGCCUUCUACUCCCAGUCUCAC
This 490-nucleotide long non-coding RNA is filed under the name Pan troglodytes (chimpanzee). RNAcentral describes it as "long non-coding RNA NONPTRT006418". The record is from RNAcentral. Lineage: Eukaryota; Metazoa; Chordata; Mammalia; Primates; Hominidae.